ACAGAGGUGGCGAACGUUGUUCGGAUUUACUGGGCGUAAAGGGUCCGCAGGCGGUUCGGUGUGUCGGAUGUGAAAGCUCACAGCUCAACUGUGGAAUUGCAUUCGAAACUGCCGAACUAGAGUACUGGAGGGGAGAAGGGAACACUUGGUGUAGCGGUGAAAUGCGUAGAUAUCAAGUGGAACACCGGAGGCGAAGGCGCUUCUCUGGACAGAUACUGACGCUCAUGGACGAAAGCUAGGGUAGCGAAAGG
This 251-nucleotide ribosomal RNA is filed under the name uncultured prokaryote. RNAcentral's name for it is "partial 16S rRNA". It matches the Rfam family "Bacterial small subunit ribosomal RNA", at positions 525 to 775 of the family's 1533-position model. The record is from RNAcentral.